CACCGCGGUUAAACGGCGAACUCAAGUUGAUAAUGCACGGCGUAAAGCGUAGUUAAGGUGUGAUAAUAAAUAGGGCCAAAGAACCCCAAAGCAGUUCAAUGCAUUCGGAGCCACGAAACACAUCAACGAAAGUAACCCUAGUAAAUCUGACGCUACGAAAGCUAGAGUA
This 169-nucleotide ribosomal RNA is filed under the name Lucigadus nigromarginatus. RNAcentral's name for it is "partial 12S ribosomal RNA". Lineage: Eukaryota; Metazoa; Chordata; Actinopteri; Gadiformes; Macrouridae. The record is from RNAcentral.